RNAcentral lists this ribosomal RNA (546 nucleotides) under uncultured bacterium. Its description in RNAcentral is "bacterial SSU rRNA". It matches the Rfam family "Bacterial small subunit ribosomal RNA", at positions 392 to 929 of the family's 1533-position model. The record is from RNAcentral.
CAACGCCGCGUGAGUGAAGAAGGUUUUCGGAUCGUAAAGCUCUGUUGUAAGAGAAAAACGAGUGUGAGAGUGGAAAGUUCACACUGUGACGGUAUCUUACCAGAAAGGGACGGCUAACUACGUGCCAGCAGCCGCGGUAAUACGUAGGUCCCGAGCGUUAUCCGGAUUUAUUGGGCGUAAAGCGAGCGCAGGCGGUUAGAUAAGUCUGAAGUUAAAGGCUGUGGCUUAACCAUAGUACGCUUUGGAAACUGUUUAACUUGAGUGCAAGAGGGGAGAGUGGAAUUCCAUGUGUAGCGGUGAAAUGCGUAGAUAUAUGGAGGAACACCGGUGGCGAAAGCGGCUCUCUGGCUUGUAACUGACGCUGAGGCUCGAAAGCGUGGGGAGCAAACAGGAUUAGAUACCCUGGUAGUCCACGCCGUAAACGAUGAGUGCUAGGUGUUGGGUCCUUUCCGGGACUCAGUGCCGCAGCUAACGCAUUAAGCACUCCGCCUGGGGAGUACGACCGCAAGGUUGAAACUCAAAGGAAUUGACGGGGGCCCGCACAAG